RNAcentral lists this ribosomal RNA (495 nucleotides) under uncultured Lachnospiraceae bacterium. RNAcentral describes it as "bacterial SSU rRNA". It matches the Rfam family "Bacterial small subunit ribosomal RNA", at positions 1 to 507 of the family's 1533-position model. The record is from RNAcentral. Lineage: Bacteria; Bacillati; Bacillota; Clostridia; Lachnospirales; Lachnospiraceae.
AGGAAGUUUGGAUCCCUGGCGUCACGGGAUGAACGCUGGCGGCGUGCCUAACACAUGCAAGUCGAACGGAGUUACGAUGAAACCUAGUGAUUCGUAACUUAGUGGCGGACGGGUGAGUAACGCGUGGAUAACCUGCCUUGCGACUGGGGGAUAACACUUAGAAAUAGGUGCUAAUACCGCAUAAGCGCACGGAGCCGCAUGGCUCAGUGUGAAAAACUCCGGUGGUGUAAGAUGGAUCCGCGUCUGAUUAGCUGGUUGCGGGGUAGAAGCCCACCAAGGCGACGAUCAGUAGCCGGCCUGAGAGGGUGAACGGCCACAUUGGGACUGAGACACGGCCCAAACUCCUACGGGAGGCAGCAGUGGGGAAUAUUGCACAAUGGGGGAAACCCUGAUGCAGCAACGCCGCGUGAGUGAAGAAGUCAUUCGUGAUGUAAAGCUCUACCAGCAGGGAAGAAAAUGACGGUACCUGAGUAAGAAGCCCCGGCUAACUACGUA